AUACUUACCUGGUGGGGGAGAUACCAUGAUCAUGAAGGUGGUUUUCCCAGGGUGAGGCUCACCCAUUGCACUCCAGUUGUGCUGACCCCUGUGAUUUCCCCAAAUGUGGAAAACUCGACUGCAUAAUUUGAGGUAGUGUGGGACUGUGUUUGCACUUUCCUCUG
This is a small nuclear RNA of Nycticebus coucang (slow loris), 164 nucleotides long. RefSeq annotates it as U1 spliceosomal RNA. The transcript has a single exon. NCBI's taxonomy places the organism in Eukaryota, Metazoa, Chordata, Mammalia, Primates, Lorisidae. The record is from RefSeq and is a predicted model, not a curated record.